Molecule: long non-coding RNA, 1209 nt
Organism: Monodelphis domestica (gray short-tailed opossum)
Lineage: Eukaryota; Metazoa; Chordata; Mammalia; Didelphimorphia; Didelphidae
Source: RefSeq, a predicted model, not a curated record
GGAAAAAGGGGCACAGACUGGCAGAACCGCCAGACAGGCUCAUUCAGUCUUGCCACCGCUUUGUGCUGGGAAAAGACAGACAGAAAGAGAAGAAUCAAGAGAAAGAGAAAGACAGACAGACAAGACCCAUAUAUUUAACUGAAAGAGCAAAGGAAGAAGGCAGCUGAUUGGAAAGAUACCCUUCUCUCCCAACUAAGGAAGAAGGCAAAAUUGGACCCCAUCCAACCCCAAAGGAAUUUGGCAGCGAGGGUCCCUGGCUCUUUAAGACCACUGAGGAAAAGGAGGAGAUGAUAUGACUACUCUUUGGGCAGCCAGGUAUAACUGACUAAGGGAUCCACUAUCCUGCUAUCUCUAUUCCUACCAUGCACAAGAAGUUGACAACUAUUUGGAGAUGAAAGACGAGAGCCAAAAUAAGAAAAAGGAUUGAGGAUGAUGAAGACAUUGAAACAAAGAAAUCCAGUAACUUGGACAUCGUUGGGUUAAAGGCAAACCUCUGAUGAACUAGAAUCCCAGCUCCCAUUCCAGUGCUUUCCCAUAGAAAACCAGCUCCCAUUCCAGUGCUUUCUCCAUUAUAUCAUAACAGGUCAUAGGUUUUUAACAACCUAGUAUCAAUUUCCUUGAACCACAGUCAAUAGUCAAUGAAAACUGAAUCACUUUGGAAAUGUUUUCAGUGUUCCACUAGAGGAUUCUUGCUAAGUCUGAAUGUCCACAGCACUACAGCUACUAAUAAAGAUAGGUAAAAAGAAAUACAAAACAUCAGAACAAAUGUUUUAAAAUAACUUUGGUAUUCCACUUCCUGUAUUCCAUUCACUAGACCAGUUUUUCUCAGUUGAAAAUAGUAUUUUCACUAUUCAACUUUUGUUUGAAACCUGUUCCUGAAUAUUACCAAACUAUGUUGGCACAUGGUUACCCAUAGAGCCAAGGAACACAUGGAAAAGGAAUCACUAUAUUCUGGAAAUGAAAGCUAAUAACAGGUAAACUUUGAUAUUGCUGAUAGUUGAUAACUGAUAGUUGAAAGGAUUAGCCAUCUCCUUUCAGACAAGAAUGCUAAUCAGGAAAGUAGAAGGGAGACAAAAAAGAUGGAAAGAUAUAAGUUGUGUAAAAAUGUCAGAAAAAAAAUAGAAACAUGCAAGAACACGAAACCCCCCUCACCCCUCCCACCCUUUACCUUGGCAAUUUCUGAACAUUAAAAUCCUAAUGACCAACAAA